GAUACAAGCCACCUUAUCGCUCCUGACAUUAAUCGUCAGGAGAGGAAAGUCCGGGCACCAUAGGGAAGCAUAGCGGUUAACGGCCGUCACACUGACUAAAACGUCAGCGUAGGACAAGUGCAACAGAAAGAAUGUACAGGUAAUGCUGUAGUGAAAUCAGGUAAACUCUAUGCGGUGAAAUGCCACGUACACUCGCUUUUGAGGGUUCCCGCCCGAUGUGGGAGGGUAGGCAGCUAGAUCGUGUCGGUAACGGCAGGGCCAGAUAAAUGAUAAGGGUCAUGACGAUUUUGUCAUGAUACAGAACCCGGCUUAUCGGCUUGUAUCUUUU
Molecule: RNase P RNA, 328 nt
Filed under: Roseivirga sp.
Lineage: Bacteria; Pseudomonadati; Bacteroidota; Cytophagia; Cytophagales; Roseivirgaceae
Description: RNase P RNA component class A
Rfam family: Bacterial RNase P class A
About the family: Ribonuclease P (RNase P) is a ubiquitous endoribonuclease, found in archaea, bacteria and eukarya as well as chloroplasts and mitochondria. Its best characterised activity is the generation of mature 5'-ends of tRNAs by cleaving the 5'-leader elements of precursor-tRNAs. Cellular RNase Ps are ribonucleoproteins.
Source: RNAcentral